UGUCGAUGAAGAGCACAGCCAACUGUGUGAAUUAAUGUGAACUGCAUACUGCUUUGAACAUCGACAUCUUGAACGCAUAUUGCGGCCAUGGGUUAGCCUGUGGCCACGCCUGUCCGAGGGUCG
Molecule: ribosomal RNA, 123 nt
Filed under: Longiductotrema tethepae
Lineage: Eukaryota; Metazoa; Platyhelminthes; Trematoda; Plagiorchiida; Microphallidae
Description: partial 5.8S ribosomal RNA
Rfam family: 5.8S ribosomal RNA
About the family: 5.8S ribosomal RNA (5.8S rRNA) is a component of the large subunit of the eukaryotic ribosome. It is transcribed by RNA polymerase I as part of the 45S precursor that also contains 18S and 28S rRNA.
Source: RNAcentral